UAGGGAAUCUUCGGCAAUGGACGAAAGUCUGACCGAGCAACGCCGCGUGAGUGAAGAAGGUUUUCGGAUCGUAAAACUCUGUUGUUAGAGAAGAACAAGGACGUUAGUAACUGAACGUCCCCUGACGGUAUCUAACCAGAAAGCCACGGCUAACUACGUGCCAGCAGCCGCGGUAAUACGUAGGUGGCAAGCGUUGUCCGGAUCUAUUGGGCGUAAAGCGAGCGCAGGCGGUUUCUUAAGUCUGAUGUGAAAGCCCCCGGCUCAACCGGGGAGGGUCAUUGGAAACUGGGAGACUUGAGUGCAGAAGAGGAGAGUGGAAUUCCAUGUGUAGCGGUGAAAUGCGUAGAUAUAUGAAGGAACACCAGUGGCGAAGGCGGCUCUCUGGUCUGUAACUGACACUGAGGCUAGAAAGCGUGGGGAGCAAACAGG
This 429-nucleotide ribosomal RNA is filed under the name Gemmatimonadota bacterium. Its description in RNAcentral is "Gemmatimonadetes bacterium partial 16S ribosomal RNA". It matches the Rfam family "Bacterial small subunit ribosomal RNA", at positions 355 to 776 of the family's 1533-position model. Lineage: Bacteria; Pseudomonadati; Gemmatimonadota. The record is from RNAcentral.